RNAcentral lists this unclassified non-coding RNA (376 nucleotides) under soil metagenome. Its description in RNAcentral is "partial contains 5.8S ribosomal RNA, internal transcribed spacer 2, and large subunit ribosomal RNA". The stretch from base 1 to 120 matches the Rfam family "5.8S ribosomal RNA", at positions 35 to 154 of the family's 154-position model. The record is from RNAcentral.
GAUGAAGAACGUAGCGAAAUGCGAUAAGUAAUGUGAAUUGCAGAAUUCAGUGAAUCAUCGAAUCUUUGAACGCAUCUUGCGCUCCUUGGUAUUCUGAGGAGCAUGCCUGUUUGAGUGUCAUUAAAUUCUCAACUACACUGACUUUGAAUUGGUGUGGCUUGGAUUUUGGGGGAAAAUUGUUGUGGGCUUUUUGUAUAGUCUGCUCCCCUGAAAUUGAUUAGCGGUACCUUUGUGGAACUGUCUACAGGUGUGAUAAUUAUCUACAUCUUAGACAUCUGCUGGAAUGCUGCUUUCUAAACCUUACUUGUAUUGACAAUCUUGACCUCAAAUCAGGUAGGACUACCCGCUGAACUUAAGCAUAUCAAUAAGCGGAGGA